UGAGUAACACGUAUCCAACCUGCCGACAACACUGGGAUAGCCUUUCGAAAGAAAGAUUAAUACCGGAUGGCAUAAUUAUUCCGCAUGGGAUAAUUAUUAAAGAAUUUCGGUUGUCGAUGGGGAUGCGUUCCAUUAGGCAGUUGGCGGGGUAACGGCCCACCAAACCUACGAUGGAUAGGGGUUCUGAGAGGAAGGUCCCCCACAUUAGAACUGAGACACGGUCCAAACUCCUACGGGAGGCAGCAGUGGGGAAUAUUGGUCAAUGGACGAGAGUCUGAACCAGCCAAGUAGCGUGAAGGAUGACUGCCCUAUGGGUUGUAAACUUCUUUUAUACGGGAAUAAAGUGAGCCACGUGUGGCUUUUUGUAUGUACCGUAUGAAUAAGGAUCGGCUAACUCCGUGCCAGCAGCCGCGGUAAUACGGAGGAUCCGAGCGUUAUCCGGAUUUAUUGGGUUUAAAGGGAGCGUAGGCGGGUUGUUAAGUCAGUUGUGAAAGUUUGCGGCUCAACCGUAAAAUUGCAGUUGAUACUGGCGACCUUGAGUGCAACAGAGGUAGGCGGAAUUCGUGGUGUAGCGGUGAAAUGCUUA
Molecule: ribosomal RNA, 586 nt
Filed under: uncultured bacterium
Lineage: Bacteria
Description: bacterial SSU rRNA
Rfam family: Bacterial small subunit ribosomal RNA
Source: RNAcentral